CUCAUAUCCUGGAAGCAGGUGUCUUAGCAUCGUCCACACGAGUGAUGCCAUCUUAGAUGAUUUAGUUUAAGGAUGGGAAUUACAUUGUAGAAAUCACUGCCACCAGCCUCUGUGUUUGUGCUGCCACUGAUAUAACAUCCUGGAGCAUAAGAACUACCUUUCUUUUUGCUUGUAUUUGCUGUUGCAGAGCUUAACAUGGUACC
Phascolarctos cinereus (koala) is the source of this 203-nucleotide non-coding RNA. The record is from RefSeq and is a predicted model, not a curated record. NCBI's taxonomy places the organism in Eukaryota, Metazoa, Chordata, Mammalia, Diprotodontia, Phascolarctidae.